AGCAUUUGCCGCGAGUUAUUGGCAAGUUCCCCUGCAGUUUGGGCUGUCUCUGUGGCUGGUUCUGCGGCGUGCGGCCAGCCAUGGAGCGCUCUGGGCCCAGCGAAGUGACAGGCUCAGACGCAUCGGGACCGGACCCGCAGCUUGCGGUCACCAUGGGCUUCACGGGGUUCGGUAAAAAAGCUCGCACAUUUGACUUGGAAGCAAUGUUUGAACAAACUCGAAGAACAGCUGUGGAAAGAAGUUGCAAAACACUGGGCCACCAGGAACACACCUGUAGCCCAGCAAAGUUGAGGCCAUCAACUGGCUCAUCACAACAAGGAAGGCUGUGCACCACUGGGACCCAGCAGCAGCUCAGCAGCAGCAGUGAAAGGGCCUUGGGAAAGACUCGGAGGGUUUGGCUUAUACAAGGCCAGAUUACAGAGGGGUAUUGAUUUGCCUUGCCCCCGCCCCCACCAUCACAGUGUGUCCCUGUCCAGUGUUGGUGCUGUGUGGCAUUGGCUUGUGUCCAUAGGAGUCCAUCAAGGCAGAGCGGCAGAGUGGGAAGGCAGGUCAGCUUCCAGCUCUUCCAGGCUGCAUGUCCCACUCAAUAUCCUUUCAACCCAAUGGAAAUGGAUUGAAAGAGUGAAAGUCACUGGUCUCAAAGAAUCUACGGAAUUUAGCAUUUUGAAAAUCACAUAGCAAUUUUGGGUAGGUAUUCACCUGCACUAAAAAACCAGGCAAACAUCCGACUCCCAGGAUAAAGUGACUGAGAGCAGUAGAAGACUUGUUGAGCCUUAAGGAAUAAGAGGAAAAUUACGUUAUGAAGUGCAGGAACAGCACAGACCCAGACGAGGGGACGCAGCCCGGAGCCAGUAACCCGGCGCCACCUCCUCCCCAGGGCGCAGCGCUGGCUGAUCCCCAGAUACCGUGAUCACACGUCCCGGGUCCUGAGAGCGCCUCAUAGGUAGACAGUUCUUUGGGACUUCUGGGAUGCAGCACUUGAAGAGAGGUUUACCUAAACUUUCCUCCUGGGAGCCUGUGAUCAUUUGAAAGUAACAGAAGAAAGUUGUCAGGCUGAGGAAAGUUUCAACAGGCACUUGGUGAGAAUGGGAAGCAUCCAUUCAUUGUGAAAUCGCGGGGACAGAGGAGGAAUUCACGGGAUCAGAGCACUGAGAAACUCCAGAGGCUUCUGGUUCACCGCCCUGAUUCCACAGAUGUGGGUCAGAGGCAGAGAUGGAAGUUGGAAUGGACAAGCCUGCCCUCUCCUUGGCUCUCCAUGGCUCUGUCCUCAGGCUGUUUCUGCAAUUUGACAUGAGGCCUGGCCCCAGGGAAACCAGUGGGGCCUCAUCUCCUCCCUGUGCUGCUCUGAGGUGGAGCCUUCUCAGGGUCAGUCCAGCUCUGGAGCCCCUCUCCAGCUCGGUCACCAAAGCUGUCUGGUCCCAGGGCGGUGCUGAGUGACAGGCAUGCCAGCCAAUCCAAUCGGCAAUUUCAUAUCCAAUGCAUGUGACUGAUAAAGAGAUAACGCCCUGUCUCCAAGACACAGGCUUUACAUAAACAGCUUUAAUGACUUCUUCACUUAGAGACAAGACUCCUUAGUGGUGGAACCUCAGGCAUCCGUGCAGGACGUAAGAAAGCUGCCGUAUAUACAUGAACUGAGAAGUGUGUAGAAGAAUAAAUACUGUAAUAGGUAAUAAAAUGUAUGUAUUUUUAUUUAUGUGCUACUUUGUCUUUCUCCCUCUCUGUGUAUAUACACAUACAUACAAAAAUGUAUUCAUUCUAUGGAAAACAUGAAAGAUGUAAUAUUCUUUACAUAUGAAAUUUUAAUUAAUGUAUUUUUUCUGAUCAUAUGAACACCACAAAUAUAAUUUUAUAAUUUUUUUACCUAACAAUAACUCUUAAACAUGAAUAUACAUGGACAAUAUCAUAGUUUUUUUUUUAAUCAUAAUUAAAAUGGUUGUGAAAC
Homo sapiens (human) is the source of this 1942-nucleotide long non-coding RNA. Ensembl annotates it as GUSB pseudogene 1. Its record names the gene GUSBP1. Lineage: Eukaryota; Metazoa; Chordata; Mammalia; Primates; Hominidae. The record is from Ensembl.